This 601-nucleotide ribosomal RNA is filed under the name uncultured bacterium. Its description in RNAcentral is "bacterial SSU rRNA". The stretch from base 1 to 518 matches the Rfam family "Bacterial small subunit ribosomal RNA", at positions 338 to 873 of the family's 1533-position model. The record is from RNAcentral.
CCUACGGGAGGCAGCAGUGGGGAAUCUUGCGCAAUGGGCGAAAGCCUGACGCAGCCAUGCCGCGUGAAUGAUGAAGGUCUUAGGAUUGUAAAAUUCUUUCACCGGGGACGAUAAUGACGGUACCCGGAGAAGAAGCCCCGGCUAACUUCGUGCCAGCAGCCGCGGUAAUACGAAGGGGGCUAGCGUUGCUCGGAAUUACUGGGCGUAAAGGGAGCGUAGGCGGAUAGUUUAGUCAGAGGUGAAAGCCCAGGGCUCAACCUUGGAAUUGCCUUUGAUACUGGCUAUCUUGAGUACGGAAGAGGUAUGUGGAACUCCGAGUGUAGAGGUGAAAUUCGUAGAUAUUCGGAAGGACACCAGUGGCGAAGGCGACAUACUGGUCCGUUACUGACGCUGAGGCUCGAAAGCGUGGGGAGCAAACAGGAUUAGAUACCCUGGUAGUCCACGCUGUAAACGAUGAGUGCUAGUUGUCGGCAUGCAUGCAUGUCGGUGACGCAGCUACGACAUUAAGACACUCCGCCGUCGGGGUAGGUACGGUCGCGAGAAUUAAACUACAAGAAGUAGACGCGNGAGAGUGCCGACGACGACGACGAGGGAGGUUAGG